Molecule: microRNA precursor, 64 nt
Filed under: Callorhinchus milii (elephant shark)
Lineage: Eukaryota; Metazoa; Chordata; Chondrichthyes; Chimaeriformes; Callorhinchidae
Description: Cmi-Mir-4541_pre stem-loop
Source: RNAcentral
AGCUGGUCUUUGCUAAAUAUUUGUGUGUGUGUGUAAAUUUCACAUAUUUAGCAUGACUGGCUAG